This 493-nucleotide ribosomal RNA is filed under the name Termitomyces robustus. RNAcentral's name for it is "eukaryotic LSU rRNA". It matches the Rfam family "Eukaryotic large subunit ribosomal RNA", at positions 72 to 569 of the family's 3401-position model. The record is from RNAcentral. Lineage: Eukaryota; Fungi; Basidiomycota; Agaricomycetes; Agaricales; Lyophyllaceae.
GGAUUCCCCUAGUAACUGCGAGUGAAGCGGGAAAAGCUCAAAUUUAAAAUCUGGUAGUCCUCUGGCUGCCCGAGUUGUAAUCUAGAGAAGUAUUAUCCGCGCUGGACCGUGUAUAAGUGUCCUGGAAUGGACCAUCAUAGAGGGUGAGAAUCCCGUCUUUGACACGGACUCCCAGGGCUUUGUGAUGUGCUCUCAAAGAGUCGAGUUGUUUGGGAAUGCAGCUCUAAAUGGGUGGUAAAUUCCAUCUAAAGCUAAAUAUUGGCGAGAGACCGAUAGCGAACAAGUACCGUGAGGGAAAGAUGAAAAGAACUUUGGAAAGAGAGUUAAACAGUACGUGAAAUUGCUGAAAGGGAAACGCUUGAAGUCAGUCGCGUUGGCUGGGGAUCAACCUUGGCUUGGCUUACUUCCCAGUUGACGGGUCAGCAUCAGUUUUGACCGGUGGAUAAAGGCUAGGGGAAUGUGGCACCUUCGGGUGUGUUAUAGCCCUUGGUCA